UCUAUUAUGGCAGAUUAGUGCAAUGGAUUUAAACCCCAUUUAUAAAGAAAUUAUCUUUUUUUAGAA
RNAcentral lists this transfer RNA (66 nucleotides) under Corynis lateralis. Its description in RNAcentral is "tRNA-Leu". Lineage: Eukaryota; Metazoa; Arthropoda; Insecta; Hymenoptera; Cimbicidae. The record is from RNAcentral.